GCUGGGCAUGGUGGCGCGUGCCUGUAAUCCCAGCUACUCGGAAGCUGAAGCAGGAGAAUCGCUUGAACCCAGGAGAUGGGAGGUUGCAGUGAGCCAAGACAGUGCCACUGCACUCCAGUCUGGGUGACAGAGCAAGACUCCGUCUCAA
Callithrix jacchus (white-tufted-ear marmoset) is the source of this 148-nucleotide unclassified non-coding RNA. It matches the Rfam family "Metazoan signal recognition particle RNA". From Rfam's summary of the family: The signal recognition particle (SRP) is a universally conserved ribonucleoprotein. It is involved in the co-translational targeting of proteins to membranes. Lineage: Eukaryota; Metazoa; Chordata; Mammalia; Primates; Cebidae. The record is from Ensembl.